Sturnus vulgaris (Common starling) is the source of this 436-nucleotide non-coding RNA. The record is from RefSeq and is a predicted model, not a curated record. NCBI's taxonomy places the organism in Eukaryota, Metazoa, Chordata, Aves, Passeriformes, Sturnidae.
CGCCCUGGAUGGUUUUCUUGAUGCGCAGCAGCAUCGUGGAUUUUGCCUUCCCAUCCUCAAACUUGGAAAAGUAUCCACCAGGAAUCCAACAUGACAGCAGCACAUCAAGAAUUCCAGUCACUGCUGAGGAUGGUCAGGGAUUUUGGGAUAAUAGCUGUGAGCCCACCAAGCUUCUCCCAGCUGGCCCAGGCUGGUGAGGAGGGAUUGGGAAUUCUGGGAUAACUGACCUUGGCAUUCAGUUCAUCCACGAUGAAGUGGCACAGGGCAGCUUUGAAGAAAUAUUCCUUGGCGCUGUACUUGAGCAAAGGGUUAUCCAUCGUGUUUGUUCCCACCUGGACAAACAAAACAAAACCAUGGAAAAAAGGGGCAGGAAAGGAAAGCCUGGGUUCAACCAAUUCAAAUUCCACAGGGCUGGGAAUAAAAGGCGUGGAAAAAA